Long non-coding RNA from Oncorhynchus masou masou (cherry salmon), 387 nucleotides. RefSeq lists it as uncharacterized. NCBI's taxonomy places the organism in Eukaryota, Metazoa, Chordata, Actinopteri, Salmoniformes, Salmonidae. The transcript has 2 exons. The record is from RefSeq and is a predicted model, not a curated record.
GGUCUCCCCGCCGAGGUUCCCGUGCUGCACGUUGCAACGACCGUUCUUCUCCACGAACCGCUGGCGUUUCUUUUUGACAGAUCUAUCUGUCGGACCUGCCUGGUGUGUUCCUUGUUCUUCAUGAUGCUCUCUGCGCUUUUAACGGACCUCUGAGACUAUCACAGUGCAGGUGCAUUUAUACGGAGACUUGAUUACACACAGGUGGAUUGUAUUUAUCAUCAUUAGUCAUUUAGGUCAACAUUGGAUCAUUCAGAGAUCCUCACUGAACUUCUGGAGAGAGUUUGCUGCACUGAAAGUAAAGGGGCUGAAUAAUUUUGCACGACCACUUUUUCAGUUUUUGAUUUGUUAAAAAAGUUUGAAAUAUCCAAUAAAUGUCGUUCCACUUCA